Molecule: ribosomal RNA, 253 nt
Filed under: uncultured bacterium
Lineage: Bacteria
Description: partial 16S ribosomal RNA
Rfam family: Bacterial small subunit ribosomal RNA
Source: RNAcentral
UACGUAGGUGGCAAGCGUUGUCCGGAUUUAUUGGGUUUAAAGGGUGCGUAGGCGGUCCUAUAAGUCAGUGCUGAAAUAUCCCGGCUUAGCCGGGAGGGUGGCAUUGAUACUGCAGGACUUGAGUGAAGUCGAGGUAGGCGGAAUUGACGGUGUAGCGGUGAAAUGCUUAGAUAUCGUCAAGAACACCGAUAGUGAAGACAGCUUACUAGACUUCAACUGACGCUGAGGCACGAAAGUGUGGGGAUCAAACAGG